GACGAACGCUGGCGGCGUGCUUUAGACAUGCAAGUCGAACGAGAUCUUCGGAUCUAGUGGCGAACGGCGGAGUAAUACAUAAACAACGUGCCCUGAAGACUGGGAUAUACGGUCGAAAGGCCGAGCAAUACCGGAUGUGGCCGAGACUAGGCAUCUAGACUCGAUUAAAUGGUUUUCGCUUCAGGAGCGGUUUAUGACUCAUCAGCUAGUUGGUAGGGUAAUGGCCUACCAAGGCUACGACGGGUAGGGGUCUGAGAGGAUGAUCCCCCCGAGUGGGACGUGAGACACGGCCCACACACCUACGGGUGGCAGCAGUUUGGAAUCUUGCCCAAUGGGGGAAACCCUGAGGCAGCGACGCCGCGUGGAGGAUGAAGGGAUUUAGGUCUGUAAACUCCUUUUGCCAGGAAAGACUUAGGACGGUACCUGGCG
Molecule: ribosomal RNA, 429 nt
Filed under: uncultured bacterium
Lineage: Bacteria
Description: bacterial SSU rRNA
Rfam family: Bacterial small subunit ribosomal RNA
Source: RNAcentral